GAAGCGGGAAGAGCUCAAAUUUGAAAUCUAGUAGCCUUCGGCUGCUCGAGUUGUAAUCUAGAGAAGUGUUUUCCGUGCCGGCCCAUGUACAAGUCCCUUGGAACAGGGCGUCAUAGAGGGUGAGAAUCCCGUCCUUGACAUGGACCCCCGGUGCUCUGUGAUACACUUUCAACGAGUCGAGUUGUUUGGGAAUGCAGCUCAAAAUGGGUGGUGAAUUCCAUCUAAAGCUAAAUAUUGGCGAGAGACCGAUAGCGAACAAGUACCGUGAGGGAAAGAUGAAAAGCACUUUGGAAAGAGAGUUAAACAGUACGUGAAAUUGUUGAAAGGGAAACGAUUGAAGUCAGUCAUGCUCUUUGGUAUUUAUAUCAUUGAGUGGGGUCAACAUCAGUUUUGAUCGAUGGAUAAAGGCACUAGGAAGGUAGCACUCUCGGGUGAACUUAUAGCCUAGCGUCAUAUACAUUGAUUGGGACUGAGGAACGCAGCAUGCCUUUAUGGCCGGGAUUCGUCCACGUACAUGCUUAGGAUGUUGACAUAAUGGCUUUAAACGACCCGUCUUGAACACCG
Molecule: ribosomal RNA, 564 nt
Filed under: Naganishia liquefaciens
Lineage: Eukaryota; Fungi; Basidiomycota; Tremellomycetes; Filobasidiales; Filobasidiaceae
Description: LSU rRNA
Rfam family: Eukaryotic large subunit ribosomal RNA
Source: RNAcentral